CUACGGGAGGCAGCAGGCGAGAAAACUUUGCAAUGUGCGAAAGCACGACAAGGUUAAUCCGAGUGGUUUCUGCUAAAGGAACCUUUUGUCGGUCCUAGAAACACCGAUGAAUAAGGGGUGGGCAAGUUCUGGUGUCAGCCGCCGCGGUAAAACCAGCACCUCAAGUGGUCAGGAUGAUUAUUGGGCCUAAAGCAUCCGUAGCCGGCUCUGUAAGUUUUCGGUUAAAUCUGUACGCUCAACGUACAGGCUGUCGGGAAUACUGCAGAGCUAGGGAGUGGGAGAGGUAGACGGUACUCGGUAGGAAGGGGUAAAAUCCUUUGAUCUAUUGAUGACCACCUGUGGCGAAGGCGGUCUACCAGAACACGUCCGACGGUGAGGGAUGAAAGCUGGGGGAGCAAACCGGAUUAGAUACCCGGGUAGUC
Molecule: ribosomal RNA, 422 nt
Filed under: uncultured archaeon
Lineage: Archaea
Description: partial 16S ribosomal RNA
Rfam family: Archaeal small subunit ribosomal RNA
Source: RNAcentral